RNAcentral lists this ribosomal RNA (164 nucleotides) under Aglaia elliptica. RNAcentral describes it as "5.8S ribosomal RNA". It matches the Rfam family "5.8S ribosomal RNA". Rfam says of the family: 5.8S ribosomal RNA (5.8S rRNA) is a component of the large subunit of the eukaryotic ribosome. It is transcribed by RNA polymerase I as part of the 45S precursor that also contains 18S and 28S rRNA. The record is from RNAcentral. Lineage: Eukaryota; Viridiplantae; Streptophyta; Magnoliopsida; Sapindales; Meliaceae. RNAcentral also lists the same sequence under 2 other names.
AAUACGACUCUCGGCAACGGAUAUCUCGGCUCUCGCAUCGAUGAAGAACGUAGCGAAAUGCGAUACUUGGUGUGAAUUGCAGAAUCCCGUGAACCAUCGAGUCUUUGAACGCAAGUUGCGCCCUAAGCCGUUAGGCUGAGGGCACGUCUGCCUGGGUGUCACGC